AGUGAACGCUGGCGGCAGGCCUAACACAUGCAAGUCGAACGGCAGCACCGUAAGAGCUUGCUCUUACGUGCGGCGAGUGGCGGACGGGUGAGGAAUACUCCGGAAUCUACUCCUUCGGGGGGGAUAACGUAGGGAAACUUACGCUAAUACCGCAUACGACCUACGUGUGAAAGCAGGGGAUCUUCGGACCUUGCGCGAUUGAAUGAGCCGAUGUCGGAUUCGCUAGUUGGCGGGGUAAAGGCGCACCUAGGCGACGAUCCGUAGCAGGUCUGAGAGGAUGAACAGCCACACUGGAACUGAGACACGGUCCAGACUCCGACGCGAGGCAACAGUCGGGAAUAUUGCACGAUGGGGGCAAGCCUGAUCCAGCCAUACCGCGUGAGUGAAGAAGGACUUCGGCUUGUAGAGCCCUUUUGUUGGGAGAGAAGAACAGCAGGUUAAUACCCCGCUAUUCUGACGGUACCCAAAGAAUAAGCACCGGCUAACUUCGUG
RNAcentral lists this ribosomal RNA (492 nucleotides) under uncultured bacterium. RNAcentral's name for it is "partial 16S ribosomal RNA". It matches the Rfam family "Bacterial small subunit ribosomal RNA", at positions 29 to 507 of the family's 1533-position model. The record is from RNAcentral.